Molecule: non-coding RNA, 345 nt
Organism: Gadus macrocephalus (Pacific cod)
Lineage: Eukaryota; Metazoa; Chordata; Actinopteri; Gadiformes; Gadidae
Product: small Cajal body-specific RNA 2
Exons: 1
Source: RefSeq, a predicted model, not a curated record
ACAUUCGUGCGGGAGUGAAUGGUGUAUGCUGUGUUGCGGUGUCUGUCUGUAUGUCUGUAUGUCUGUGAGAGCGUAAAUGAGUGCUUUUGUUUGUCUCUAUGUAUUUAAAACCUACACACUGAUCUUAUUUGAUCGACCCGGAUUCAGCCUUGGUCCGACGUCGAGAUGAUAAAACGAUGCUUGCUAGCCUCUAAGGCGAUGUGCGUACGAGAUCCAAACUCCAGGGCUUCCACACGAAGUUGUGGUCAGACGUGAUGAUUUGAUCAGAUAUACUAGUCUUGAGUGGACUUGACUAAUCCUCAAGUUUCACAACAGACCAUGAGUAUAGAAGCGAUUCUGAUCUAA